CAGCAGCCGCGGUAAUACGAAGGGGGCUAGCGUUGCUCGGAAUUACUGGGCGUAAAGGGCGCGUAGGCGGACAGUUCAGUCGGGGGUGAAAGCCCGGGGCUCAACCUCGGAAUUGCCUUCGAUACUGGCUGUCUUGAGUAUGAGAGAGGUGUGUGGAACUCCGAGUGUAGAGGUGAAAUUCGUAGAUAUUCGGAAGAACACCAGUGGCGAAGGCGACACACUGGCUCAUUACUGACGCUGAGGAGCGAAAGCGUGGGGAGCGAACAGGAUUAGAUACCCCUGUAGUCCCUGUCUCUUAUAC
Molecule: ribosomal RNA, 301 nt
Filed under: uncultured bacterium
Lineage: Bacteria
Description: partial 16S ribosomal RNA
Rfam family: Bacterial small subunit ribosomal RNA
Source: RNAcentral